RNAcentral lists this ribosomal RNA (115 nucleotides) under Klebsiella oxytoca. RNAcentral also lists the same sequence under 1 other name. The record is from RNAcentral. Lineage: Bacteria; Pseudomonadati; Pseudomonadota; Gammaproteobacteria; Enterobacterales; Enterobacteriaceae.
UGGCGGCACUAGCGCGGUGGUCCCACCUGACCCCAUGCCGAACUCAGAAGUGAAACGCCGUAGCGCCGAUGGUAGUGUGGGGUCUCCCCAUGUGAGAGUAGGGAACUGCCAGGCU